GGCGGAGCCUGUGCGGAGAGAGGCCGGGCCGAGGGGACGCGAAUCAGCGGCUAACAACGGAGCUGCGUUUUUUCGCAUUCCAUUCCUAUCGCACUACGCACCUAGAUGCCGCCUCAUUACACACACCGGACCAACGGGUUUUUGCGCAACCAAGGAUUUUCGGAAGAGACUGCAGAGACAAACAUGGCGUACUCGCCGACACGGAGAAUAUCGGGGUACGCCACGGAUACCACCGACGAUGCCAUCUGCCCGAUUUUUCACGUGCGGUACCUGGGCCGCGGGCCGGUGGCGGCCGCAGGACGGGACUACGUGUCGCCGAUCGUGAAUUCACUGUUCCGACAAGCCGCCAGGAAACAUCUGCCAAAGACGACACUGUUUAUCUCCGCCCAGGGCAUCAGGGUGGGUCAACCCCGGGGAGGAAGGGGCGUCCUCCCCGUCAGUUUUGUGCCCAUACACGACUGUCUGUACGGAGCGGCCGACAGGAUACACAAGGAGGUGUUUUCUAUCGUUGUCAAAGGGACGGGUCGGGGAAACCCUUUCGAGUGUAUGUCGUUUGUGUGCCAUAAGUCUGCCCAUUCUACCGCGCUAGCGCUCUGGUUAAACAAGGCCUUUAAGGAGGCGUACGAAGUGUGGCAAACGCAGACUGUGAGGCCAGCGGAGCCCAGAGUAUUCGAGAGAAACGUCCGACGGAACCCGUCCUUCCAACAUCAGCAGCCCAGGCCUGUGGAGGAUCAAUACGCGGCGUACAGCUCCGUGGAUAGGGGCCAACGUAGGUAUCAGAGGAGCAAUUCCGAGUCUGUGUACGUUAAUGGCGACUACAGUAGCGAACCUUUGGGGACGGGUUGUAUCGAGGGAGCAACCAUCGGUACUCUGCUACACCCGGGUACCCGCAGCAGAAAAGGAAAGACUCCGAAAAGGAAGGGUCUGGCUUUGGUAGUUUCUUCCGAAGAUCGAAAAGGGGGUCGGAGAGGGGGUCGCGAGAGGUGGUGUACACGCCGCCGGACCAGGACAGCACCAAGAGCUCUCCCAGGAGAAGCUCGUUUUCACUGCCCGACAAAGCUCCGUGGAAGAAGCGGGAAAAGAGAGACGAGAAGGACAAAAAGAAGAAGGAGAAGAAGAAACAGGAGGACUUGUAUACGCCGCGAGGUGAGCGUUUUGUGUACAGAAAUCCGGAACUAAGUUAUAGUGUGGAGACCCUUGAUGACGUCAGCAUACAGUCAGAAGACAGAGGGCGAUCCGGCCGGAGAUAUCUUAGAAAACAGCGAACUCAGAGUGAGGAGAGAGAGUUAAAACCUCCAUCUCCCGCGCCGAAACGCCCCUUGUCUCAGCUGCUACAGCCCACCCCGUUCACUGUAGCACUGGAGAAAAAGGCUUCGCCUGAACCAACUAAGAAGGAAGCUCAAAUCCCCAAGAAACGGACGUCGACAGAGAAAAGUCUGUCCGACGAGCGGAGACAACCGCCGAAAAAACCGAGCCCCCAGCCAACAUUGGAGACACAUCCAGUCCCUGCCCCUCCCCCUCCCCUGCCACCAGCCCCGGAGAGACGGGAGGAGCCCAAACCACAGCAAAACGGUGAGAUCGACUUUUCUGGGAUCGUAGAUACGGACGCUUUCAUCGAUGACGUCUUCGAUGGCAUAGAUUAUGACAUCUUCAGCGACGACGACCAAAAAAAGAAACAAGAACGCGACAGUUCUGAAGAGAACGCGUCCGAGAAAGCCCGCGACGCCUCGAAUAAGGAAAACUGGCCCGAUUUUUCGACGGCCUACAUCAGCCCGACGUCGGGGCGAGGGAGUCAGGACGUGCCGAGGUGGACAAACAUUUUCGGUAAGACCCCUCCCCCGGGCAUGUCCCCGGAGUCCGGGGCGAAGUUCUCGCAGUAUCAGCCCAAAGCCCUUCGCGACGCCGAUACCGACAUUUCCCGAUUAGACGCCCAAAGAGCCCGACAGCAGCCAACAGGGUCCGACAGAAAACGACACGAUUCCGAGGACGAUGGAUACACCUCCAUCGUGGUGAAGGAGAACGAGGCACCCAUAAGGUAUUCUCAAGCGCUGAACGACUAUGAACAAAGCUCGCGUAGCAAACCCAACGGUGUCAUCAACAACCACCACGACUCCAAAGGAUCCGGGGACGUUAAGAACUUGUACAACCUGGUAGGCUCUAAAUCCUUCUGGGAAACAAGGGUAGACAUGGGGAAAAGUAUGCUGUACUGAAUAUAUAUAAAAACAAACUGUACACCCGCCAUAUUUGUACAUGAAGUUUCAUGUCAUCAAACCAUUACCUCAUUGUUGAAUAUAUGGGAAAAAUAUCUAUCUUACACUUACAUAUCAUAUGUAUAAUUUUUGUAAUAAUUUUCAGUCUGGACUUUGGGUGACUUGUAGAUAUGUAAUAUUAUUUGGCGGCAUUUUAAACAGAUCGUUUGCAGAGGUAUAUAUGGCCCAAUAUUUCUUGGCGCUAUGUCAAAACUGGUGGCUUAUAUAGUGUCGUUAAUUAUGCAUGUACUUUUGGUGUCAUUCGAGAUGAUGUCUCAGACCGGGAGAAUUCGGUGUUGGGUCUCAACUGGUCACUGAAAAAACGUCAUUAUAGCCAUGACUGUACGAAUGUUUUGUUCGGAUCCAGGGUGGAGCUUGCUUGUGCGAUUGUGAAUGUAACUGGGUUAUCAGGUAACGCCCUAACCUUUGACCUGUAAUGGUUAGCUUGUAUCUUCUAUGCUCCAUUGGCCAGUACUAUAGUUGUCAAAUCCUUAUCAACGUGUUUUCUUUUGCCUUUUGUUAAUGCUUAAAUUCUAGAUACUUGCAUUUAUGCUGGUGGCUUUGUUUUCAUUGAUGAAACCCAGGAGGCGAAUCUUUAGUUACACCCCAAUUGUCUUAAUUCAUCUAAUGAUAAGUUGCAUAAUGAGUUCAUGCCUGCUAUUCAUAAUUGCCUUCUGUAAUAUCUAUAGGCAAGCCUGCACUGCGAGACCGAAUGUGCUACCAGUUAACCCCUUUACUACUAAGUUAACGCAUUUUGUGACCGAUUAACCCACAUGUUGUAAGCAGAACUAGGUUACCUCAGACCAGCGUCUGACAAUGUUGUACAUACUGUAAGCGUGCGACCCAUCAUGAAGGGCUUCCCACUUUAUUUGUUUAUGUUUUUAUAAAAAAUUAUCUGAUGCUGUUUAGCGACACAUACAACUUUGAGUCGGUUGUAUUCUGUGUACCAUACGGGAGAGAGUGAGAGAUAAACGUUCUACAUUUUCAUUAAAGUUGACUUAACUUGUC
This is an RNA transcript of Branchiostoma belcheri (Belcher's lancelet), 3257 nucleotides long. It is a transcript of the gene named adipocyte enhancer-binding protein 1-like, with no coding region annotated. The transcript has a single exon. The record is from RefSeq and is a predicted model, not a curated record. Lineage: Eukaryota; Metazoa; Chordata; Leptocardii; Amphioxiformes; Branchiostomatidae.